This 341-nucleotide unclassified non-coding RNA is filed under the name soil metagenome. Its description in RNAcentral is "partial contains 5.8S ribosomal RNA, internal transcribed spacer 2, and large subunit ribosomal RNA". The stretch from base 1 to 120 matches the Rfam family "5.8S ribosomal RNA", at positions 35 to 154 of the family's 154-position model. The record is from RNAcentral.
GAUGAAGAACGCAGCGAAAUGCGAUAAGUAGUGUGAAUUGCAGAAUUCAGUGAAUCAUCGAAUCUUUGAACGCACAUUGCGGCCAUAGGUAUUCCUUUGGCCAUGCCUGUUCGAGCGUCAUUUACACCCUCAAGCCUAGCUUGGUGUUGGGCGCCUGUCCCGCCGUUUUCGCGCGCGGACUCGCCUCAAAGUCAUUGGCGGCGGUCGUGCCGGCCCCCUCGCGCAGCACAUUUGCGCUUCUCGGAGGCCCGGCGGAUCCGCGCUCCAGCAAGACCUUUCACGACUUGACCUCGGAUCAGGUAGGGAUACCCGCUGAACUUAAGCAUAUAAUAAGCGGAGGA